CUUUCUUUCCCCCAUCAUGCCUCUCCCCGUCUGCUAAAAAAACGACACGAGAGCUCGAGCGGUGACUGCGUCGUCGCCGCCGUUCCUGCGGCCUACGGGCUCCCCGGCGCUUGGAGUUGUCCCGAAGAGCCGCAGCCGUCGUCUUCAUCGGAGCCGGGGGGGCAACACCGUCGUCGUCACGUCGAUCCCCUUCGACGGACACUGCCUCUGCCCCGUCGUCGAUCCCCUCGACUCCAACUACCUCCGGCUCCCCUGAGCUCCUACGAACCCCCCUACUCCGAGACCGCUGCUGAUGUUGCCCCUGUGAUCGACUACGUCGACGACGACACUUCUUCCCUUUCAGCAGAGCUUCCAGGCAAGCCCCCCCCCCUUGCUUAUUCUGAUAUCGCACAUUCCAUUCUCUCAUGCUUGCAUUAGAUUUUGUUGUUGUUAUUGUUUGCUCCUAUUCUGAUGCAUAGCCUGCUUUUGUAACCUGCUCAUUGUACCUUACCUGUUUAUCCUAAACUGCUUAGUAUAGGAUGGUUAGUGAUCCAUCAGUGACCCCCACCUUGUCCUUGUUGCCCCUGAUUCAUCAUCGAAGACCCGAUCAACUGGAUCGAAGAGCAGGCCCCGGCACCGCACAUCACUUUCCCCUUAGUUGCUCGACACUACUGGGUUACUAUCGAGUGCCGAGGGUGAGACCUCAUCAGCAUUUCUGAUGUUAACCCUGUAGUGUAGCUAUUCGGUCGUGGUCAUCGAGGGUGAUUUCCUCCUUAACCACUUCCGAUACGACUCUGUCAUGCAACCCCUCAAGUGUGAACCUCGAGGGUGGAUCCUCUUACGUUCACCUUGAUGAUUACAUCAAGUGGAAUUCAUCGGGGGUGAUUCCUCGGGUUUUCCCCUUGAUGUUUGGACACACGGAUACUUGGACUUUACAACUGUUACUUGGAAAGGCGGGCCGACCCUGAGGGGUACCCGCGAGUGACGUGGAGACGGGUUGACCUGGAGGGUGCCCGCGAGAUAAUUACGAGGCGUGGCCGGGCAUUCCUAGCCCUUGGAGCAAGUUCUCGAGACGGGGCAACGGGGUCACAUCUUUCGUGAGUCUCUGCUUGUUACUACGAUUUGGAUAUUUGAUCCGAGGGGCCUGAUACGUCUCCAAUGUAUCUAUAAUUUUUGAUUGCUCCAGGCUACUUUAUCUAUUGUUUUGGACUAUAUUGGGCUUUAUUUUCCACUUUUUUAUUAUUUUGGGGACUAACCUAUUAACCGGAGGCCCAGUCCAGAAUUGUUGUUUUUUGCCUAUUUCAGUGUUUCGAAGAAACGGAAUAUCAGGCGGAGUCCAAACGGAAUGAAACCUUCGGAAACAUGAUUUUCUCACCGAACGUGAUCCAGGAGACUUGCACUCUACUCCAAGAAGUGCCAGAGGCGGUCACAAGGGUGGAGGGCGCCCCCCUGGGCGCGCCCCCUACCUCGUGGGCCCCCUGUUGCUCCACCGACGUACUCCUUCCUCCUAUAUAUACCUACGUAUCCCCAAACGAUCAAGGAGGAGCCAAAAACCUAAUUCCACUGCCGCAACCUUCUGUAUCCACGAGAUCCCAUCUUGGGGCAUGUUCCGGAGCUCUGCCGGAGGGGGCAUCCACCACGGAGGGCUUCUACAUCAACACCAUAGCCCCUCCGAUGAAGUGUGAGUAGUUUACUUCAGACCUUCGGGUCCAUAGCUAGUAGCUAGAUGGCUUAUUCUCUCUUUUUGGAUCUCAAUACAAUGUUCUCCCCCUCUCGUGGAGAUCUAUUCGAUGUAAUCUUCUUUUUGCGGUGUGUUUAUUGAGACUGAUGAAUUGUG
This 1816-nucleotide ribosomal RNA is filed under the name Triticum aestivum (bread wheat). RNAcentral describes it as "partial small subunit ribosomal RNA". Lineage: Eukaryota; Viridiplantae; Streptophyta; Magnoliopsida; Poales; Poaceae. The record is from RNAcentral.